Molecule: long non-coding RNA, 795 nt
Organism: Hemicordylus capensis (graceful crag lizard)
Lineage: Eukaryota; Metazoa; Chordata; Lepidosauria; Squamata; Cordylidae
Exons: 3
Source: RefSeq, a predicted model, not a curated record
CUCAAAGGCACACAGUUCUUCCUUCAGGCGAGGAAGGCAUUUUGGAGGCCUGGAUCUUGAGACAUACCAGCUAGUACCCACGACACUGCUGAUGAGCAUAUACAUGUGACACCCGAGUCUUUAAACCACUGCUGCUGUUCCGCGAUCCUUGGGUCACCGCAAUGCCCAGGGAAGACCAAGCCAUGUGGAAGUCCAACUACUUCCUCAAGAUCAUUCAACGAUCUCUCUGUCUGGGCUUCGGAGAUGAGAGAAGGAGAAAAGAUGGCCACAACGCCUCGCUGCCAGUUAAGGUCAGCUAGUCGGAGGCGAUCCAUCUCACUCGGUCAGGGAACCAGCCACGGAGAAGACCUCGUUGGGCUCGUUUUCCCGCUGCAAAGGGAGAAGAGAAAGCGCAGCGACUCCGGAUUCUAUUCAAGUUUUUAGAACAGCCCGCUUUAAGCCCCUCCGGCUCCUCACUCACAAGAUCGGAACCCGACCCAGCCCCUCAGUCACCGAAGUCUUCGAUCUGCUUUCUCCGAAUCUUUCGAGAGGACUUCAAAGAAUCACAGCCGAACUAGCCCUCCUCUCACCAGGGCCGCCAUUUAGCAAUCCGGAGGGCCCGUGCCCCCAGGUCCUCUUUCUAGUCACCUCAGCAGCAUCAGGUUUCAAAACGCCUGAAGUCUUCUGCUGAGUCAGAUGAUCCUAGCUCCAUCUAGCUCAGCCACUGACUGGCAGCUGCUGGCCAGGGAGUCCGACAGAGAUCUGUCCCAGCCCUAUUGGGAGAUGCCAACGUCCUUCUGCCCUCAGACCAGUGAG